CGCCUGUUUAACAAAAACAUCUUUUCUUGCAUGUAUGUGAAAUAUAACCUGGCCACUGAAGUUGAUUUGAAGGGCCGCGGUAAUUUGACCGUGCAAAGGUAGCAUAAUCAUUAGUCUCUUGAUUAGAGGCUGGAAUGGAUGGUUUGACGAGAUAUAAACUGUCUUUUAUUUAAGAUUUGAAUUUAAUUAUUGAGUAAGAAAGCUUAAAUUUUUUUAUGGGACGAGAAGACCCUAUAGAGUUUAAUAUUUAUAAAUUAUUAAUAGGUUUGAUGAAUUAUUUUUAUUAAUAAUUAUUUUAUUGGGGUGAUGAAAAGGUAAAAUUAACUCUUUUUAUUGUAAAAUAUUUAUUUAUAGAUAUUUGAUCCAAAAAUUUUGAUUAUAAGACUAAAUUACCUUAGGGAUAACAGCGUAAUCUUUUUUGAGAGUUCCUAUCGACAAAAAGGGUUGCGACCUCGAUGUUGGAUUAAGAUGAAUAUUAGGUGUAGAAAUUUAAUAUAUUAGGUCUGUUCGACCUUUAAAAUCUUACGUGAUCUGAGUUCAGACCGGAAUCG
RNAcentral lists this ribosomal RNA (551 nucleotides) under Parcoblatta sp. MSB-2012. RNAcentral's name for it is "partial 16S ribosomal RNA". It matches the Rfam family "Bacterial large subunit ribosomal RNA", at positions 1797 to 2624 of the family's 2925-position model. Lineage: Eukaryota; Metazoa; Arthropoda; Insecta; Blattodea; Blattellidae. The record is from RNAcentral.